GAAUUAGAAAAGAAGCCUCUCCUUUGGGACAAAGACUUUGGUAAACACUUCUUGGCUCUGGUUUCAGAUUGCAUCAGUUCUAGAGCUAAUUCCAGGUCCCAAACUAAGAACAAGCUUUGACUUAGUUUUUAAACUGCUUUCAGAAUAGCUCGACUCUUCUUCAGGAAAUUAUCCCAGGAUUUGAAUCAUCACAAGAGUUUCACCAGAGGAUUUUAUACAUUUGGGCUGUGGCAGCAGACCAAUUACACCACAACACCAUGCUAAAGAAAAAAAAUCACAUGAUUUUAUCAGUAGAUGUUGAAAAAGCAUCUGACAAAAUCCAACCCUCAUUCAUUAUAAAAACUCUCAGCAAACUAGGAAUAGAGGGGAACUGACUCAACUUGAUA
Long non-coding RNA from Lemur catta (Ring-tailed lemur), 386 nucleotides. RefSeq lists it as uncharacterized. NCBI's taxonomy places the organism in Eukaryota, Metazoa, Chordata, Mammalia, Primates, Lemuridae. The record is from RefSeq and is a predicted model, not a curated record. The transcript is spliced from 3 exons.